Molecule: transfer RNA, 72 nt
Organism: Loxodonta africana (African savanna elephant)
Lineage: Eukaryota; Metazoa; Chordata; Mammalia; Proboscidea; Elephantidae
Rfam family: tRNA
About the family: Transfer RNA (tRNA) molecules are approximately 80 nucleotides in length. Their secondary structure includes four short double-helical elements and three loops (D, anti-codon, and T loops).
Source: Rfam
GGAGUUACAGUUCUGUGGUAGAAUGUGUGCUUAACAUGCAACAAGCCCUGGGUUCAAACCCCAGUAUCUCCA